Saimiri boliviensis boliviensis (Bolivian squirrel monkey) is the source of this 284-nucleotide unclassified non-coding RNA. It matches the Rfam family "Metazoan signal recognition particle RNA". From Rfam's summary of the family: The signal recognition particle (SRP) is a universally conserved ribonucleoprotein. The record is from Ensembl. NCBI's taxonomy places the organism in Eukaryota, Metazoa, Chordata, Mammalia, Primates, Cebidae.
GCCGGGUGUGGCGGCAUGCACCUGUAGUCCCAGCUACUUGGGAAGCUGAGGUGGGUGGAUGGCUUGAGCCCAGGAGUUCUGUGCAACAUCAAUCGCAUGUUCGUGAUAAGUUCAGCAUCAAUAUGGUGACCUCCUGGGAGCAAGGGAUCACCAGGUUGCCCAAGUGGGGGUGAACUGGCCCAGGGAAGAAAUGGAGCUGGCCAAAACUCCAGUGAUGAUCAGUAGUGGGAUCACACCUGUGAAUAGCCACCGCAUUCCAGCCUGGACAAACAUGGUAUCUUAUU